Non-coding RNA from Pelobates cultripes (western spadefoot toad), 101 nucleotides. The record is from the annotation of a GenBank genome assembly. Lineage: Eukaryota; Metazoa; Chordata; Amphibia; Anura; Pelobatidae.
UGUGUGUGUGUGUGUGUGUGUGUGUGUGUGUGUGUGUCUAUGACAGACAUACUGACAUACUGACACAUACACACACUGACAUACACACACACACACACACA